UAAUAGUAAUAUUAAUCUAGUAGAACUAGAAGAUGGGAAAAUAUGGAGCAGACACAUAGACCAACUCAGGGGACGAUUGGAACAGAAUCUGAACGACCAGAAAACCUCAGAAACAGAAACACAACAUAGAGAGAUAAGACCAACCCAAACAACUACAAAUACUGAAAACACAAGCCUCCCCACUCUAGGGUGGGACUCAAACUCAAGUACACUGCAGGAUAACUUAGCUGAAGGGGGAGAAAUCCAGC
Molecule: non-coding RNA, 248 nt
Organism: Notechis scutatus (mainland tiger snake)
Lineage: Eukaryota; Metazoa; Chordata; Lepidosauria; Squamata; Elapidae
Source: RefSeq, a predicted model, not a curated record